Molecule: long non-coding RNA, 2295 nt
Organism: Pan troglodytes (chimpanzee)
Lineage: Eukaryota; Metazoa; Chordata; Mammalia; Primates; Hominidae
Exons: 3
Source: RefSeq, a predicted model, not a curated record
ACAGAGUUCCUGGUGUUUUACCUUAUCUCAGUCUGCACUUGUCUGCCCAAGUCUCUCUUAAGAUACGGUGCCAAGGCCCAAGGGCACACGGAAGAUGUGUUCUACCGACGCCGAAGGUCACAGGGCUUGGAGAAUAGCUGUUGUUCCGGGGAAUGCACAAUGAAUAAAGCCCCUUUCCCCAGGAUGUGCUUGCUGUCGCGCAGGAAGCCAUCAUACGCGAAGGCGCUCAUGCCCACAGCUACCAGACUCUGAAGAAGAUGGCAUUUCCUCCCGAUGUUGCCAUCACUUCAUUCCGUCAGCCAAGUUCUUCUUUGUGGCUCAAGGAAUGUUCGCUCUUUGAGAUAUCAUCAACAAAGCAUGUGAAAUUGUCAUAGGCUGAGCUUUCAGGAAAAUCCUAUUGACAACAGCCAAGUGGAGUUUGUUUCUGCUUAUAUACAAAUAUCUGUCAGUUGCUAAAUCUUCCGUCACGUCUGCUGCGUUCUUGGUGUCUCCGACCAGACUGUAAGCUGCUUGAAAAUACAGACCGCCUUCGAAUUGUGUAACCGAGAAAUGCGGGGGAGCGGGCACCGUGUCUUUGAGAUGACCCAGGAGCCGCACAGAGGUGGGGAAAUGAGGGCAGAGAAACCAGCCCAGGCCUUGGGGGCCUCAGAGUCCAGGCAGGACCUGGGUUUCUGAUUGUGCCUCGGAAGUGAAUCAGCACCACCGCCUUCUGUCCUUGGGACGUUCCGCUGAGCACCACCGUGGGAGACGCCAACAGCCGAGCGGGGCGCUCAGCCCGGCCUUGCCCCACGGGCACUCCCAGCAGGACAGACACAGACACACGGCUGGAAGGACCCAUUCUCCCAAGGAAAUUGGCACUGUGUGGACCACGGGCAGGCGGGUGCUGAGCCGCGAGGACCUAGCAGAUCCCCCAUCCACUCCCGGCCUGACCCUGCAUGGCUCCCAGGCAGCCCUCUCGGGCCUCAGCGUGCAAGGCAGCCCCGGGUGGAGGCCCCACCUGGGGUCAUUCAUCAUAGCCUGUGCAUCUACACCGAGUGUGUGUCAGUGUUCCGUAAGCCUCACUCCCAGGGCUGCUGGUGGGGCCUGGCCCCACAGUAGGUGUUUAUCUUGUCCACCCGCUCAGAGCUGUGCUGUUCUGUGCCGUCCUGAGCUGUCCACGCCCAUGACAAACACACGGCUGGUGAGGUCCCUCUCUCCCCGCGGCCCCGGCACCCCACAGUCAGCACAGUCCUGGCCACUGUCGCCUUUUCAUCACAAACACCCUCAUUAGUUAGCGGGGCCAACAGCGUUAUCUUCAGAGGGGUCAGGAAACCCGGUGUUACUCUGGGCUUAGGCUUGGACCCUGCGUUUUGUGGCCCAUGACCUUUAACAUCGACGUGGCCUCUGACGUCUGACAUGUCCAUUGAGCCAGACCUCUGCUAACUUCAGCACAUUCCAGUUUUUAUGAAGCCCAAAUUGAUCAUCUGCUGCAACAGCGUUUGACAUCCUGGUUUCAGGUUCCUUCGUCUAUCCUUGGCCCUAAUCCACAGAUUUCUGGGGACUGUGCCCUAGCCCACAGGAAAAAAAAACAGAUAUAACUAAUGUUACUAAAAUAUUACUAAAACCAUAUUUCAAAAAAUGAAUCUGGGCUGGGCAUGGUGACCCAUGCCUGUAAUCCCAGCACUCUGGGAGGCUGAGGCGGGCAGAUCACGAGGUCAGGAGUUCGAGACCAGCCUGGCCAACAUGGUGAAACCCCAUCUCUACUAAAAAUACAAAAAUUAGCCAGGCGUGGUGGCGGGCGCCUGUAAUCACAGCUACAUGGGAGGCUGAGGCAGGAGAAUCAUCUGAACCUGGGAGGCAGAGAUUACAGUGAGCAGAGAUCACGCCACUGCACUCUAGCCUGGGCAACAGAGUGAGACUCUGUCUCAAAAAUAUAAAUAAAAAGAUUCGGAUCACCCUCAACUCACAGCCAGGUUUAUAAAUGGGGGCAUCUACAUUUUUAGGCCUUAGAACUUGUUUAUAGAACUUACCACAUUCUCCCUGCUAUGGUUUGAAUGUGUCCCCCAAAAAUACAUGUUGGAAACUUCAUCCCCAAGGCAACAGCACUGGGAGGUGGGGCCGUAUGGGGGUUGUUUGAGUCACGAGGGCUCCACCCUCACGAAGGGAUUAAUGCUGAUGCAACUUUGAGCCUGUGCUCUCUCUUGCCUUGUGACUGACACCUUCCACCAUGUCAUGACACGUCAAGAAGGACCCUCGAUCUUGGACUUCCCAGCCUCUGGAACCAUGAGCCAAAUAAACAUUGACUAUUUCUUAAUU